AAAACAAAGAAUGAUUGUAAAUAAACUAGGAGACAUCUUGUAAUACAAAGAUGGGAUUUUAGGGAGGAAAAUGUAUAGAUAAUGCUGUUGAAAUUAAUAUUCACUCAUCAUGGUAUAAGGUGGUGAUUAGGCGAAAAAAGAAAAUAAAGAAGGUUUUGCAAUCAUUGUUUCAUGAUCACAUAUGAAAACCCACAAGAUAUAUCUACUGAUUAUCAGAAUUACUACAAGUCAUGAGAGAAAAA
This 242-nucleotide long non-coding RNA is filed under the name Linum usitatissimum (flax). RNAcentral's name for it is "long non-coding RNA (LUSI_LNC006150)". The record is from RNAcentral. Lineage: Eukaryota; Viridiplantae; Streptophyta; Magnoliopsida; Malpighiales; Linaceae.